Small nucleolar RNA from Sphaerodactylus townsendi, 87 nucleotides. RefSeq annotates it as small nucleolar RNA SNORD11B. Lineage: Eukaryota; Metazoa; Chordata; Lepidosauria; Squamata; Sphaerodactylidae. The record is from RefSeq and is a predicted model, not a curated record. The transcript has a single exon.
CGAUGGCUGUGAUGAUCCUGCCACAUUGGCUCUCCUGAUGUAUAAACCAUGAAGGUUGUAUAGUCACUACCUCUUCUGACGCCAUCU